GGGCCCGCACAAGCGGUGGAGCAUGUGGUUUAAUUCGACGCAACGCGAAGAACCUUACCAGCUCUUGACAUUGCUAAGUCGCGAGUUUUAGAGAUAAAACUCUUCAGUUCGGCUGGACUUAGUACAGGUGCUGCAUGGCUGUCGUCAGCUCGUGUCGUGAGAUGUUGGUUAAGUCCCGCAACGAGCGCAACCCUUGUCCUUAGUUGCCAGCAAUUCGGUUGGGCACUCUAGGGAGACUGCCGGUGAUAAACCGGAGGAAGGCGGGGAUGACGUCAAGUCCUCAUGGCCCUUACGGGCUGGGCUACACACGUGCUACAAUGGCGUCUACAAUGGGUCGCAAUAGGGCAACCUAAAGCU
This 357-nucleotide ribosomal RNA is filed under the name uncultured bacterium. RNAcentral describes it as "bacterial SSU rRNA". It matches the Rfam family "Bacterial small subunit ribosomal RNA", at positions 917 to 1269 of the family's 1533-position model. The record is from RNAcentral.